UUAAAGAUGUCAGAGGUGUAUGAGUUUGUUUUAGGUGCAAUUAACAAGCGUUUAGUAGCUUUCUUUAAA
Molecule: transfer RNA, 69 nt
Filed under: Thaparocleidus varicus
Lineage: Eukaryota; Metazoa; Platyhelminthes; Monogenea; Dactylogyridea; Ancylodiscoididae
Description: tRNA-Leu
Source: RNAcentral